CAGAGUGAAUUUUAAAUAAUUGAAAACUAUAUUUUUUUAAAAUAUUCGAAUUGAUCAACAUCAAUAUUGCAGUCGUACUAAAUGAUGCAUAGCUCAAGUCGACGAGUACGCGCACUCACACAUAUUUUCGGAUAUCCUUUAGAUACGAUUAUGCCGUCGAAUAUAUAAUGCAGUUUUUGCAAUUAUGCGUUUUUUAAUCAUAUGUCACUGCAAAUAAACAUCCCAACGCGAUUGUAAAACAAUGACUUCUUCAACUGUCACUGCCAUUUUCCUCGGAAUCGUCGAUUGUGAGGUACAAUUUUGUUUUCCGACACUAUGAAACUGGGAAAAUUGGGUCUAGCUUGACAUGAGAAAACGCAACGACACGCGCCACGCAAGAGUGCAUCCGCAGGAGAAGCGUACUUCAAACUGGCGCCAUGCGCUUCGACGACGACGAUGAUGACGAUGGUGAAAAACGGUAGCACGAGCAAUUUGUGUUCCAAUAAAGAUCACGUUGCAAGGCCGGCGUUUAACUCCGAUUCCGACCAGUGUCGAGCGUGUAAGUUGCCGUGUAAAAUGACACUGUGGCAUUUUGCUUCGCUCGUUAAAGAAGACACACGUUCGAUUUAUGCACGCACCAGACCAUCAGGCGAAUAUUCAGCACUUCUAACGACAUGAAAAUUUGUGUUCUUCCUAUAUAACGCAAAGUAGAGAAAAAUCGCUUCAAAACGCUCAUAGCGGUUUAGAUCGAGAAGAAGCUUAUUUUAAGGACCAACCAAAUAAGAAAUCAAUUAUAGGCAAGAAAAAAUCUUCGGCUCUAUCACGGUUUC
Long non-coding RNA from Camponotus floridanus (Florida carpenter ant), 809 nucleotides. RefSeq lists it as uncharacterized. The record is from RefSeq and is a predicted model, not a curated record. The transcript is spliced from 3 exons. NCBI's taxonomy places the organism in Eukaryota, Metazoa, Arthropoda, Insecta, Hymenoptera, Formicidae.